GGUGAGUAACGCGUGAGUAACCUGCCUUACACAAGGGGAUAGCCGUUGGAAACGACGAAUAAUACCCUAUGAAACUAUCACUUCGCAUGAAGCGAUAGUCAAAGUGUUAGCGGUGUAAGAUGGACUUGCGUCUGAUUAGCUAGUUGGUGAGAAAAAGCCCACCAAGGCAACGAUCAGUAGCCGGCUUGAGAGAGUGUACGGCCACAUUGGGACUGAGACACGGCCCAG
Molecule: ribosomal RNA, 228 nt
Filed under: uncultured Eubacteriales bacterium
Lineage: Bacteria; Bacillati; Bacillota; Clostridia; Eubacteriales
Description: uncultured Clostridiales bacterium partial 16S ribosomal RNA
Rfam family: Bacterial small subunit ribosomal RNA
Source: RNAcentral